CCUACGAGUGUCUGCAGUGAGGAAUAUUGGUCAAUGGCCGUAAGGCUGAACCAGCCAAGUCGCGUGAAGGAAGCAGGAUCUAUGGUUUGUAAACUUCUUUUAUAGGGGAAUAAAGGUAUGCACGUGUGGAUAUUUGCAUGUACCCUAUGAAUAAGCAUCGGCUAACUCCGUGCCAGCAGCCGCGGUAAUACGGAGGAUGCGAGCGUUAUCCGGAUUUAUUGGGUGUAAAGGGUGCGUAGGUUGGUUUGUAAGUCAGGUGUGAAAGUUUGUGGCUCAACCAUAGCAUUGCAGAUGAUACUGGGAGACUAGAGUGAGUGAGGGGGAGGCGGAAUGCUCGGUGUAGCAGUGAAAUGCGUAGAUAUCGAGAGGAACACUGAUUGCGAAGGCGGGUUACUGGACAAUAACUGACGCUGAGGCACGAAGGCGAGGGGAGCGAACGGGAUUAGAUACCCCAGUAGUC
Molecule: ribosomal RNA, 460 nt
Filed under: uncultured bacterium
Lineage: Bacteria
Description: partial 16S ribosomal RNA
Rfam family: Bacterial small subunit ribosomal RNA
Source: RNAcentral